Molecule: non-coding RNA, 456 nt
Organism: Xenopus laevis (African clawed frog)
Lineage: Eukaryota; Metazoa; Chordata; Amphibia; Anura; Pipidae
Source: the annotation of a RefSeq genome assembly
AUGAGGAAAUCUGCCAUUAAAUACAUCCAGACUGUCACAAUGGAAAUGAUCCUGACCCUCCUCUCCCUCUAUGUCCUGCCCUGUCUGUCCCAGACCAUCACUCAGACCCCCCACAUUCUCAUUGUCCCCCUAGAAGGGGCCGUGUCUCUGAAUUGCUCAGUUGUGGGAGCCUCAGACCCCUAUAUGUACUGGUACAAGCAGGAUGUAGGUAGGGGGGGGCUAGAACUCAUAGCAUUCUCCUUUGGGAAGGACUCGGCAGAAGAGCCGACAAUCCGUCACUUUCAGUCAAAGAGGAGCAGUGAAUCCGAUUUCAGUCUGAGCAGCAAAGAAGCAAAGGAGACAGAUGGUGGAAUUUACUAUUGUGCUUGGAGUCACACAGGGGAGCAAGUGAAGGGGGGGGCAUUACAAAAACCCGCACAGCUUUUUGCACCUGCCACACACUCCUGCGAGCCCUGA